RNAcentral lists this ribosomal RNA (404 nucleotides) under Bacillota bacterium. RNAcentral's name for it is "Firmicutes bacterium partial 16S ribosomal RNA". It matches the Rfam family "Bacterial small subunit ribosomal RNA", at positions 355 to 776 of the family's 1533-position model. The record is from RNAcentral. Lineage: Bacteria; Bacillati; Bacillota.
UGGGGAAUCUUGCGCAAUGGGGGCAACCCUGACGCAGCCAUACCGCGUGAGUGAUGAAGGUCUUCGGAUUGUAAAGCUCGUUCGGCGGGGACGACGAUGACGGUACCCGCAAAAGAAGUCACGGCUAACUUCGUGCCAGCAGCCGCGGUAAUACGAAGGUGGCGAAUGUUGCUCGGAUUCACUGGGCGUAAAGCGUCUGUAGGUGGCUUGUUAAGUUAGAGGUGAAAGCCCCGCGCUCAACGUGGGAACUGCCUUUAAAACUGGCGAGCUAGAGAGUAUCAGAGGUAGGCGGAAUAACGGGUGUAGAGGUAAAAUUCAUAGAUAUCAGUUGGAACAGCCAGGGCGAAGGAAGCUUACUGGGAUAUUUCUGACACGGAGAGACGACAGCGUGGGGAGCAAACAGG